UCCACCGUGAGGUGGAAUCUGAAGGAAGCCUCAGGCAAACUCUCGGUCUGACGGACAGAAACUACAUAUAAGGCCUACGAUGCUGGAUGAGGUUGCAACACAAACUAAAGUCCUAUACUGUACAGAAGCAUCAAGGUAAAUGUAGCAGACACAUGAGAGGAAAGUUAUCGUU
Molecule: non-coding RNA, 172 nt
Filed under: Sphingobacterium alimentarium
Lineage: Bacteria; Pseudomonadati; Bacteroidota; Sphingobacteriia; Sphingobacteriales; Sphingobacteriaceae
Source: RNAcentral